Long non-coding RNA from Leptinotarsa decemlineata (Colorado potato beetle), 424 nucleotides. Lineage: Eukaryota; Metazoa; Arthropoda; Insecta; Coleoptera; Chrysomelidae. The record is from RefSeq and is a predicted model, not a curated record.
UCUAGUUAGGACAAAUCAGCCAGCACCAUUUUAUCGCUGGUGGUUUUUGUGGUUUGUUCAUUCCAAACCACCGGCACCGGCAGUAGGUACUCACAAUGAGAUAAAAUGUAUUCCAUGAAAAGAAAAUAAUAAUCAGUCAAAAUUGUGCACAAACUAGGUGGUUGCGAUGAUUGGUGUUUUCGAAGUUUGAAAUUAACCGUGUUUUUUUGGAAAAUAAGACGAUCAUCUCAUCGACCAUGCAGUGCUGUAGUUCCGAUAUGAUACGGGAACAAAAAAGAAUCAACGCUGAAAUCGAUAAACAGCUACGAAAGGACAAGCAUGCUUUACGAAGAGAAAUCAAGUUGCUUCUUCUAGGUGCGGGAGAGUCUGGCAAAUCCACAUUUAUAAAACAAAUGCGAAUAAUCCAUGGUGCAGGCUAUUCAGA